This 108-nucleotide long non-coding RNA is filed under the name Felis catus (domestic cat). RNAcentral describes it as "lncRNA (ENSFCAG00000053449.1)". Lineage: Eukaryota; Metazoa; Chordata; Mammalia; Carnivora; Felidae. The record is from RNAcentral.
UGAUUGAAGAUACAAGAAUAGAUUUAAGAUUUAUAUCACCAUAUUCUUCCAAGAGGCUUAGAAAAAAUUAUACCUGUUAACUAACUUCCUUCGAAUCAAGACUCAGUG